This 468-nucleotide ribosomal RNA is filed under the name uncultured bacterium. RNAcentral describes it as "partial 16S ribosomal RNA". It matches the Rfam family "Bacterial small subunit ribosomal RNA", at positions 28 to 507 of the family's 1533-position model. The record is from RNAcentral.
GACGAACGCUGGCGGCGUGCUUAACACAUGCAAGUCGAACGGAAAGGCCCUGCUUUUGUGGGGUGCUCGAGUGGCGAACGGGUGAGUAACACGUGAGUAACCUGCCCUUGACUUUGGGAUAACUUCAGGAAACUGGGGCUAAUACCAGAUAGGAGCUCCUGCUGCAUGGUGGGGGUUGGAAAGUUUCGGCGGUUGGGGAUGGACUCGCGGCUUAUCAGCUUGUUGGUGGGGUAGUGGCUUACCAAGGCUUUGACGGGUAGCCGGCCUGAGAGGGUGACCGGCCACAUUGGGACUGAGAUACGGCCCAGACUCCUACGGGAGGCAGCAGUGGGGAAUAUUGCACAAUGGGCGGAAGCCUGAUGCAGCAACGCCGCGUGCGGGAUGACGGCCUUCGGGUUGUAAACCGCUUUCGCCUGUGACGAAGCGUGAGUGGCGGUAAUGGGUAAAGAAGCACCGGCUAACUACGUG